AACGAACGCUGGCGGCAUGCCUAACACAUGCAAGUCGAACGAAGCCUUCGGGCUUAGUGGCGCACGGGUGCGUAACGCGUGGGAAUCUGCCCUUGGGUUCGGAAUAACAGUUAGAAAUGACUGCUAAUACCGGAUGAUGUCUUCGGACCAAAGAUUUAUCGCCCAAGGAUGAGCCCGCGUAGGAUUAGGUAGUUGGUGGGGUAAUGGCCCACCAAGCCGACGAUCCUUAGCUGGUCUGAGAGGAUGAUCAGCCACACUGGGACUGAGACACGGCCCAGACUCCUACGGGAGGCAGCAGUGGGGAAUAUUGGACAAUGGGCGAAAGCCUGAUCCAGCAAUGCCGCGUGAGUGAUGAAGGCCUUAGGGUUGUAAAGCUCUUUUGCUAGGGGAGAAUAAGUGAGGGAGGGAAUGCCCUCAUGAUGACAAGGACUAGCGAAUAAGCCCCGGCCAACUACGUG
This 458-nucleotide ribosomal RNA is filed under the name uncultured bacterium. Its description in RNAcentral is "bacterial SSU rRNA". It matches the Rfam family "Bacterial small subunit ribosomal RNA", at positions 29 to 507 of the family's 1533-position model. The record is from RNAcentral.